Molecule: non-coding RNA, 120 nt
Organism: Picea glauca (white spruce)
Lineage: Eukaryota; Viridiplantae; Streptophyta; Pinopsida; Pinales; Pinaceae
Source: Rfam
GGGAGGGAUCCUUGUGGGUGCGAUCAUACCGGAUCCCAUCAGAGCUCCGCAGUUAAGCGCGCUCGGGCAAGAGUAGUACCGGGAUGGGUGACCUCCCGGGAAGUCCUAGUGUUGCACCGU